Haliotis rufescens (red abalone) is the source of this 1844-nucleotide RNA transcript. RefSeq lists it as uncharacterized. The record is from RefSeq and is a predicted model, not a curated record. NCBI's taxonomy places the organism in Eukaryota, Metazoa, Mollusca, Gastropoda, Lepetellida, Haliotidae. The transcript has 10 exons.
GACUGCCGUUCUAGAGCUGUGACCGUACAAUCGGGCCUUAGACGAGUUUAAUUGUCCCCUUGGUCGGUAUCCAGAAUACAUCAGGUUUUAGUUGGCGAGUAAAUGGCCGGAAACACGGACAGGUCCCCUGAUGUUGAGGGAAGAUACAAUCUGUCCAAUUGCAUAACGCAAACAAUAGUCUCGAAUCAACCUGUCAGCAGUGCAAGACAGGAGGCGAUCAGGCAAAUGAUCUAUGACAAUUUAGAACAAGCAGAAAAGCGAUAUCGGACAUUUAUUGAAGAGCAACUUGCAGCGGACAGAACCGAUGAAGAAAUGAAACGUUGUAAUUCUCAUAUGGAGGAUUUUUUGACACAGUGUUUCCGACAGAGACAUUUGGAGCUGUUUGAAUCAAAAGACACGUCCCUACAUGAUGAUGCCCACGUGCAUGCAUUGCGCAUGCAUUCGGAUAUUCUACAGCAAGAUUUAAGAUUAGAGGGAACUGUCCUCUUAGACAGAUUAAUAGAGAAAGAUGUGUUGUCAGAAGCUGGUAGGCAAAGCAUUUUAUCACGUAAAACAAACCAGCAAAGAAAUGCAGCUUUCAUUCGUUACGUACGCCACUCAUUCAACGCAGAGACAUUUAAGACUGUUUUUCUUCCUGAACUAAAAGUGGAACAUAAUUAUUUGGCGGCAGAACUUGCAAAAGGGUUAGCGCACCCGUCUUUCUCAAUGGCCUCACUCAAACAGUGUCUCAGUUGCAAGGCAAAGGAACAAAUAAACAUUCGAAAGUUUGCAAGUCGCCUAUAUAAGAUGGGUGGAAUAACAGAGUCUGUCCAUUUAGAUUUAAUCUCAGUUGACAUCCCUCACAGAGAUAGAUGGAACCAUUUGAUACACGCAACUCGGAAAAUACCUUCAGUUUUGAUGAAAGCGCUUCAAAGUUACAAUUAUAGACUCUACAAUAAACUUCAAAGGAAACGCCAUCUGCAUUUAGAAUGCACUUGCGAUGUGACCAGCACCAUCGGUCAGUGUUCAACCUCAACAUACACUGAAGGUGGCGAAGGAGACGUAGCCAGAAUGUCUGAUUUGUCAUCAGAAAUCGAUUCACCAUCACAAAUACAUCAGGUGAUGUACACUCACAAACGGCGAUUGGACGUCAGAAAGUCUGAUCAAAAUGAUGGUAUCGUCAUCUCAGGAUCCGGGACAUCAUCAUCAUAUGACCAAAUCAUGGAAUACAUCCGCACCAGGUGAUGAAAGCACCUUUACCACCUGUCAGUAAAGAUAAUCCGUUUACAAAACAAAGACGAGGUUCUGAUGGGGCAUCUCAAAAGAGGUGGAAAGAGCAAAGGCAACCCACAAAGACGAGAGGCAACAAUGAAUUUCUCUGUCAUACCAUUACAAGUGACGUUUUGGAUAUGGAAGGAUCUUUGAGCGCACAAUUUAAAGAAAUGAAAAAACUCAAAUACAAGUUGAUGAAACUGAAGAAGCAGGCAGUGCACAAUGCGGGAGUGAGGAAGCAGUAUCGACAUUACAUUAACUAUUCCAGGAACAAAACCAAGAAUUAAAAGACAUCCAGGCAAGUGACGGAACAAUGCUGACAGAAUCUCCAAAUUGUUAAAGGUCAAAGACAACACAAGCCACAUCAAAUAUAAGACCGUCCGAGAACCUAUGACCCAAGCGCUGGUUCGUUGCUGGUCCGAAGAGGGGACUAAAUUGGACCGGGUGGCAAGGCUCUGUGACGGAUGGUGGCAACACAAGCCACAUCAAAUAUAAGACCGUCCGAGAACCUAUGACCCAAGCGCUGGUUCGUUGCUGGUCCGAAGAGGGGACUAAAUUGGACCGGGUGGCAAGGCUCUGUGACGGAUGGUGGC